ACUGAGCUACAUACGGGUUCUUCGAGCCAUAGCAACGAGACUGGCGUUGAAAACAAACCGUCGCCAUUACUCUUUAACCUGUCGACCUAUGCUGGUUAAACCCGUCAUUCUGCCUCCAAAAUGCCGAAAAACUGUGUUGUUUUUGGUUGUGCUAACCACAACUGGAAACAGGGAAAACAAAGGUUGUAUUUUGUUCUGCCAAAGCGCGAUAAAAGCCCACAGAGACGAGACAAAUGGCUCGCAGCUUUACACCGGGAAAACGAGGACGGUUCUCACUGGAGUCCCCCAAAGGCCCGGGUCGUGUGUUCGGAUCACUUCGUUUCUGGGCAAAAACCAAGUAUAAUUCCAAGGAUUCUUAUUUUAUCUUAAUCCUCUUCAUCCCUGACGGGACAUAAGGCUUCGACGAUCUGCCUCCAUCUGGACCGGUCUUGAGCAACAUGCUGUGCCUCGCCCCAGGUCAGGUUCAUCUCCUUCAGCUCAGCUGUCACCAUACGCCGCCACGUGUUCUUCCCAGGAGGGGCCAAGAAACAGUUGUGCCCAAGCAGGACCAAGUCUCCAUGUCGCUGGAAGCUGCGAGGCAGAUCUACUCUCAGCUCCUCCGUCCAUCUUUCUCCAUGAGAUUCCAACAGCUCAAGGAGGACUUCUUCUAGUUUAUUGCCUCUCCUCCUGCCUUUCUCCUUCUUUUUCAGUAGAGAAGACUGUGGAAGAUGUAAGGAUGAGUUACUAGCAGGGAUGCAACGCUAUUGUAGAUACCCAGGUAUUUCAAAGUCUUCACAAUAAUGCCGUGACCUGUGAGGGUAUCAAACAAUGUUUACAUUGUCACUUUGAAGACACUCAACCGUCUUUGUUUUCAAUACUUGCUUGAAGCAUUUAAGUACCAUCUUAAAACUCAUUUGUAUACUCAAGCCUUUAAAUAGACCCCCCUUUUAGACCAGUUGAUCUGC
Entelurus aequoreus (snake pipefish) is the source of this 944-nucleotide long non-coding RNA. RefSeq lists it as uncharacterized. The record is from RefSeq and is a predicted model, not a curated record. NCBI's taxonomy places the organism in Eukaryota, Metazoa, Chordata, Actinopteri, Syngnathiformes, Syngnathidae. The transcript is spliced from 3 exons.